UACGAAGGGGGCUAGCGUUGUUCGGAAUCACUGGGCGUAAAGGGCGCGUAGGCGGCUUUGUAAGUCGGGGGUGAAAGCCUGUGGCUUAACCACAGAAUUGCCUUCGAUACUGCAUGGCUUGAGACCGGAAGAGGUAAGUGGAACUGCGAGUGUAGAGGUGAAAUUCGUAGAUAUUCGCAAGAACACCAGUGGCGAAGGCGGCUUACUGGUCCGGUUCUGACGCUGAGGCGCGAAAGCGUGGGGAGCAAACAGG
RNAcentral lists this ribosomal RNA (253 nucleotides) under uncultured bacterium. Its description in RNAcentral is "partial 16S ribosomal RNA". It matches the Rfam family "Bacterial small subunit ribosomal RNA", at positions 524 to 776 of the family's 1533-position model. The record is from RNAcentral.